GAUGAACGCUAGCUACAGGCUUAACACAUGCAAGUCGAGGGGAAACGACAUCGAAAGCUUGCUUUUGAUGGGCGUCGACCGGCGCACGGGUGAGUAACGCGUAUCCAACCUGCCCAUCACUUGGGGAUAACCUUGCGAAAGUAAGACUAAUACCCAAUGAUAUCUCUAGAAGACAUCUGAAAGAGAUUAAAGAUUUAUCGGUGAUGGAUGGGGAUGCGUCUGAUUAGCUUGUUGGCGGGGUAACGGCCCACCAAGGCAACGAUCAGUAGGGGUUCUGAGAGGCAGGUCCACCAGAUUGGAACUGAGACACGGUCCAAACUCCGACGGGAGGCAGCAGUGAGGAAGAUUAGUCAAUGGGCGAGAGCCUGAACCAGCCAAGUAGCGUGCAGGAAGACGGCCCUAUGGGUUGUAAACUGCUUUUAUAAGGGAAUAAAGUGAGAGUCGUGACUCUUUUUGUAUGUACCUUAUGAAUAAGGACCGGCUAAUUCCGUG
RNAcentral lists this ribosomal RNA (492 nucleotides) under uncultured bacterium. RNAcentral's name for it is "partial 16S ribosomal RNA". It matches the Rfam family "Bacterial small subunit ribosomal RNA", at positions 28 to 507 of the family's 1533-position model. The record is from RNAcentral.